Long non-coding RNA from Numida meleagris (helmeted guineafowl), 3895 nucleotides. RefSeq lists it as uncharacterized. Lineage: Eukaryota; Metazoa; Chordata; Aves; Galliformes; Numididae. The transcript has 3 exons. The record is from RefSeq and is a predicted model, not a curated record.
CACCAGCACGGCCGCGGGACAGCUCCGCACCGCCAGCUUCUGCGGGAGGGAAGCAGAGAGAGGCGCGUCGUCACCCCAUGGCCCGCGGCGCUCCCGGCCGCAGCCCCGCCGCUGGGCGGCGGUGGGCGCCGCGUCCCGGUGCGGGGGUCCGGAGGGCGGCCGGGACGCUGCGGUCCUCACACUGCCGAGCCCGCCCCUGCCCCGCUCCGGCCCGCAGCACGGGGCUGGUGGUGUUGCGGUGUGCGUCAGGAACAGCAAAACGCGGCUUUUCAGGUGUUUCAAGCUACCUCUUCUCCAGAGCACCCAUCCCAACUCUCAGUCUGGCUGUUUCUCUUCACAGCUCUGAGAUCACUGCCGAGCAGCUGCCCUCACCUGUAGCACCCAGGUAUGGUAUCUAAGAGCUGCGUCAGAGGUCUGUGUAGCCGUGUGGAGGGGCCACACCAUACGUGUUAGUAUUGGUUGUCAAACGCUCAGUUCCAAAAAGCAACAGCUUUAUGGAGAUGUUGCACUUGGAUUGAUGUCAGAAGCUGUUCUUAAGAAUGCUGUUUUAGGCAGGCUGGGUACAGAUAUAGACUGUUCCCAGCCUCAUCUGAUACUCAGAAGUACUAAGCAUCUCAUUUCUUCUAGAGUUGGAAGUAAAGGUGAGUCCUGUAAAGACUUCUGCCCAUGGUUGAUUUUACGCACUUUAUAGUGCUGUCAGCUAGAGGUUGCAUCUAAUGUGUGCGUAGCCUUUCAGGAAGGCUCCCCAUGUUUCUAGGACUGCUGCUGUACCGGUAAGAGUUUUGUUUGUAGCCUGUUUUAAAUACACUGUAUAUAUUGGCACAUGUACUGAACAAACAUGUUCAGUUCCUUUCAGAAUCACGUCUGAAAACAGCACUUCUGGGAAUAACGCAGAAGCCCCAUAGUUCCAAACUGACUUUUACGGAAAUUCCUUCCUCCUUAUCUUUAAACUCACGACAUACUUUAAAAGCCCAAUGGUCUAAUUUGUUUGCUCUGGGGGCCAUAAGUAUGUUUAUAUGAAAUCGCAAGCAUGUAUUUUAUUACAGAUACCUGCUUCAUAUUUUAAUGUAAAGAAACAUUGAUCUUUCUUCUAAUAUAUCAGCAUUAUUGUACUGAUUGUGGUGGCUUCAUAUAAAUCAUUUUAAAUUUUGCACACUUUUUGUUUUCAUGUUUUUUUUUCCUCUUCUACCACACUGGCAUGUGGGAAAUGUUGCUUAUGACAAAAUUCUAUAAAAUUCUGUUCUGUGUGAGUAAUGUGUUGUUACAGGUGCAGCACGGCUGCAUGCAGGAGAGCUGAGCGCUGCCUCUUCCCACCUACUGAGAACUUCCCUGCAUAGCACCUUACAAAUCUGCAGCACAAUGCAGAGUUCUCAGAAGCAGAAAACUUCCAAGGAAACAAAACUCCAUGAUCCCAAAAGAUAUUUCUGCUAGCUCAGUGGAAAAGGCAAGUAAAUAAGUAGGGGGUAGGUUAUCACUUUCCUGACAGAAUUUAAUAGGAAAGCAUCCUAAGAAGUACAAAAGCAGAAAUUUUGAAAGAAAAAAGAGAAUAAUUCACUACUCAAGCUACCAUCCAUCCUUUUUCCGCUUUUCUCCCUACAUGCGUUAACUGUGAAUUAGUUUUGCACAUCUUUGCAUGUGAUGUGUCAACGUUUUCCCAAUAAACUGACAAAAGUGUCUAUUUGCGUGCAGCAAUGACAAAAAAGUGAAGGAAAUAAGGGCUACUGCUUGUUUCAAAAUCUAAUUUGAGAUAAAUAUUAAAUGCUUUUAAUCCUGACCAUUCCAAAACCUAUUUAGGUUUUGGAGCUUUUUAAAGAAAAUACAGAAAAUACUGAAAGAGUUCUGUCCCUGCAGUGGGCUUGAAAGGACCCAUCAGCCUCUGCCAGUCACCUCCACAGGGAACCAUGUCAUGCAGAUCUUAUUUAAAUAACUGCAAAUUUUAGAAACCGCCUGUGAAAGCGUGGGCAACAGAUCAGGUCUUCCAAAUUUGUUUCCAGAAGAGUUACAGAAAGAUUGUGUGUUUGAAGAAAUGCAGCUACAAAACCUUUUCUGUGUCUCAUUUAAAAAUUUUCUGAAAAUGUACCUUCUGAAACUUUAGAAAAGCCCCUUUUAGUCAGAUUGGGCAAGUAGAAGAAGAGAUCUUAUACUGUUUUCUUUAUAAUGACCAUUUUUAUUCCUUGGCCCCAUUAAGGCAUUGAUGAAGAUACGUUGGUCGGCACACGGGUUAUGAUAUGAGAAUAAAUCCCCACACAACUUGCAUUCCAAACCUGUAUUCUAUUUCUGCCAGAUUAAUUACAAGAAUAGUCUUGUGUUUUCAAGUGAGGCAAAAUCUGCAAUUUGAGAAUCAGUUAGCAGAACUUAUUCACUGACACUUUUGGAAUAGUGGAUAGUAAGAAAUGAAGCAUGCUUUGGACACUGCAGUGGAGAAUGUGCUGAUAUAAUGGAAGAGCCAAAAAAAGGGAAGGGGGAGGGGGGAAGAAAAAAGAAAAACCGAUUGGCUCUACGUGCUGGAAAGCAGGUUGCUGCUUCCCACCCACAGCACCCCAGCCCUCACAAUACGCCAAUUUUGAAGCCACGCCUUUUCAAUAGCAGGACAACUUCCAUUUUCACUGCAGGAUGCCACAGGCAAACCAGAGUUUGCAAUACAUAUGCUGGUCACACGCAAGCCCACUCCAACAUGCGGGAAGGCUGCUGCUUGUUUAUGACUUUCCAUCUUGGAUGUGGAAUGGUUUCAGCUAUUCAAAGCAGAGCUAAUCUUUUUUCCAUAUGUACCAACAUAGCCCUGGCCCUCCUUUCCCACACAGGCUUACACAUGAGAAGUAAGUAUCUGCUCACGCAGAUUGUGGCUUCUCCCAGGUACGUGCCUCCCAACAGCCCCUCAUGUUUUCAUAGUAGAAUACAAGAUGCUCAGAAGGGCCCUAAAACACACUGUCCAUCAUGUUUAUACUUUUAACGCCUAUGCUGGAGAUAGAGUCUUCAGUCCAUUAAUCUCUCUCAAAUGAUGCUCUCCUGACAAAGUGGUUUUGCUGUGAAAAAUUGCAAUUGUUUUCAAAGCAAUAUGAGUCCUUCCUAGCAGCCUCAUGGCCAAGAGAAAACCCUUAGAACAACCCCGAGAGUUUAGUCAGCUUUCAAAAGAGCAGCACUCCACUUCCAGACUGAAAUGACAGCUUCUCAAUUAGUAAUUUAGAACUGGUCACUAAUGUAAAGCCCUGCAUGACAAACAGCUGAGCAGACUCCUCUGGCCACAUGGGCCAUGACCUCUGUUAAUUUACUCUUUUGUCACAUCAACAGUCACUUGAACAAUGGGAUAUUUAAUAUUCCAGGAGUGACAACACAGAAAGGCACUGUGACCACUAGCCAUAGCACUUUGGUAUCGUGUUUUAGGAUUUUGGUUCAAUCCUGUGGAUUAUCAUACACAUCCAAGCUGCUACUUACUGGUGCUGCCUGAUCUGAGGAUUAGCCAGCUACCCACCCUUAAACACCAAGGCAGAAAGAUAUGGGGCCGAGCAUGCAGGCGGAUGCAAAUGUGGGUACUGAAAGGAGCCUGCUGGGUGUUAAUGGAGGAGAAGGACCUCGUGGGGUGUGCUUAAUCCCAAGGCUCCCCCCAGAAAUGCUCCUCUUUGCAUACAGCCCUGAGUGAGAGGCUGCCUGUCCCAAGGAGAGGACAUUAAGGCGUGUUUCCCUGCAACCAAGGAUGGAGACACUUGCAGGGAAAAGUUUUAGGCACCGUUCCUGAAAUGCAGUUUUCCCAUGUAGUGAUGUGCAGGUGUUGCAACUGGGGGGCGGGCAAGGAGGAAGAAGAAGAGGAGAAGGAGGAGGAGGAGGAAGAAGAGGAGGAAGUGAAGAAAAGAAGGAGGAGGAGAAGGAGGAGGAGGAAGUGAAGAGAAGGAGAAGCAGA